Molecule: non-coding RNA, 750 nt
Organism: Mauremys mutica (yellowpond turtle)
Lineage: Eukaryota; Metazoa; Chordata; Testudines; Geoemydidae
Source: the annotation of a RefSeq genome assembly
CCCAGAGGGAAUGAACAGACCAGGGCACUCAUUCAAUGAUUCACUGGAAGGAGUUUUAUCUGCCAUAAGGAGGGGCGUAUGCAAAUAAAAGUGAGAGUUUCCAGUUUAAAUCUCUGCCCAGGCUGCACCCAGAGAGAAUCCGCAGCCCCCUGUGUCUGUGCAGUUGCCAACUGAUCCACCAGAGACCUUUCCCCUCCCACAUCAGGAAAAUGAGUCUUGGGCUCCAUCUAGUUUUCAUUGCAGCAGCUUUGGGAGGUGUCCGGUCACAAGUCCAGCUGCUGGAGUCCGGAGGGGAUGUGAAAAAGCCCGGAGACUCCCUCAGACUGACCUGUACCACCUCAGGGUUCAGCAUAGACAGCGCCUGGAUGCACUGGCUCCGCCAGGCUCCCGGGCAGGGGCUGCAGUGGGUAUCAGCAAUUAAGGGAGCAACUACACAUUACGGAAGUCCCGUGAAAGGGCGAUUCACCACCUCUACAGACAGCUCCAAGAAGCUGAUCUACCUGCAACUGACCGGCCUGAAGCCCGAGGACACCGGCCGGUAUCACUGUGUCAGAGAAAGACACAGCGAGGCGAAGCUGGGCUGAGCUCAGACUAAAACCUCCCGUUGCGGUCAGCAGGGGAAGUCCCAGCUGGUUUGUGACACUGACAGUCCGGGCGCUGGGCUCUCACAGGAGACAAGUUCCGGAGUGUAUUCCGCUUGAAAUGAUUAAACUUUACUCAGCCUUUUAGCCAAAUCUAGUGCCACACACA